UACGGGGGGAGCAAGCGUUGUUCGGAUUUACUGGGCGUAAAGGGCGCGUAGGCGGCGCAACAAGUCACUUGUGAAAUCUCCGGGCUUAACUCGGAAAGGUCAACUGAUACUGUGCGACUAGAGUGCAGAAGGGGCAACUGGAAUUCUCGGUGUAGCGGUGAAAUGCGUAGAUAUCGAGAGGAACACCUGCGGCGAAGGCGGGUUGCUGGGCUGACACUGACGCUGAUGCGCGAAAGCGUGGGGAGCAAACAGG
Molecule: ribosomal RNA, 253 nt
Filed under: uncultured bacterium
Lineage: Bacteria
Description: partial 16S ribosomal RNA
Rfam family: Bacterial small subunit ribosomal RNA
Source: RNAcentral